CGUCUGGUAGUGCUACGUUGGGUACAACCAAUGGUCAGUUCUGUCCCGAAGAUGAAAUUGCUGGGGAUCAUGUAGACGCAAAGGCAGUGAGAAGAAGACACUCCACCCUGCUGCUUUUCAGUCCUUCAAGUCCAGAACCUCACCUUUAGUCAAAAGACUUGGCACUUCUGCUCGAAGUCCUAAAAAGAGUCGCCGCUAAGGUCUGCCAGGGGAGCUGAGGAACAGGCAUCCAAGAAAAGGUGCCAUGGCAACCAGGAUCCUCCUCACAGCCGAUCAGUGUGGAGAGAGCACAACUGAAGGUUCACAAUGAAUUUCAGGCCAAAUUCCAACGCUUGGGGCUCUGUCAGCCUUGAGGUUCCUAAACCGAGUUCUCAGUCUUGAGCAGUCUUCAGUAUUAAAACCACUGUCCCGUCACCUCAAUUCACAUCGCUGUCUUCCAUGGAACGUUUCAAUAACUGUACUGUUAUUUAUAGAGCAGCC
This 480-nucleotide long non-coding RNA is filed under the name Androctonus crassicauda. The record is from RNAcentral. Lineage: Eukaryota; Metazoa; Arthropoda; Arachnida; Scorpiones; Buthidae.